Molecule: long non-coding RNA, 1025 nt
Organism: Zophobas morio
Lineage: Eukaryota; Metazoa; Arthropoda; Insecta; Coleoptera; Tenebrionidae
Exons: 3
Source: RefSeq, a predicted model, not a curated record
UCAAAUCCAUAAGGUUGUAACCACUCCCUAGUGUAAAUUUUAAAAAAUUAUUCAGUGUAAAUCUGUCUUUUAGUAGCCUGGUGACAUAUCUGGUGACCUGUCAAUAUAAUGUCAGUUCAUUCAUGUAUUCGCGACACAUGAUUACGUUCGACUUCACUGCAACUCUUGCACUCCUGCACAGGUUAUUUCAUAAUUAUCAUUGUAACUUGUCGCAAUAUUGUAAAAAUUGAUAAACAAUUUUCAAUGAAAACAGGAUAACCUGAGUCUUCAUGAAAGAAGAAUGCCACCUGCUGUAAUUUAGACUUGCAGUUGAUACGUUUACGAAUUACGAUAAAAUGAAGCCAAAAAUAUUGUGGUCACGAAUGAAAACAAAUGUUGGGUUGGUAAAAAAACAAGAUGGGGAAUAACUGAGAUAUUCAGAAUUUGUUUAAAUUAUUGUACAUGAGUAUACGUGAUAAUUAUAUGUGUGGCUAACUAUGAUAUGAUAUGACUCGAAGGACCAGCUCUCUCGGCUGAAAUGAUCAAUUUCGCGAGCAACACCAAAAUUGUCUAUAAUGGGUAGAUCACCUUAAUUAGUCGCAACGGAUGACCAAUUUUUCAUCAAAAAAAUGGGACACCAACAAGUCUUUAACGUUAUGUUUAAUAACUCUAAUAUUUGGUACUACUUAUUAUUUACAAAGUGUACAAGGAAUUUGGUUGAAGGCGAUAGGUCUGGCUAUGCUCCUCCGUCCUGAGGAUUUUAGUGGUAAUAAUGAACAAAAUGGAACUUCACAAAAUUCAGAGGCUAAAAUAAUACGUAUGUUGAAAAUAAUUUGACUGCUUAUUUAAACUUACUGUUACAGGAGUGGUUAGAAACAUUGGGAACACAUAGACCAAAUAACCAAAAAGCAAUUAUUUUUCUGUUGUUAACUUUCUUAGAUCUGAAUCCCAUGGAUUUUAAUACUCGAUGUAAAGUAUUUAAACUUGCUGUAUAUUCUGGAUGUUCUUUCGCAAAAAUAAACAAAUCCUGAAGAGUAAAAAACUCA